CUCGGAUCAGUCCGCAUGUUCACGGUGCAUUUUUUAUGGAAUAUGUUGAGCAAACCUGGAGAAGCUCAGCUCAAGAUAUUAUUGUUGUCAUUGCUGUGGAUCUUUACCUGAUACACUGACUUGGCUCGGGACCAGCACUCCUGUUGUUGGACAGAAAGACAUCAACUUGAGAUAUGACUGCACUAUGCUGUUGCUGGUGACCACAGUUAAUUCUACAAGACAUGCUGUGUAAGUAAACAAACAACAACAGUUUGGUCUGCAUUUCUUGAAAGAUCACAUCCCCCAAACUUAGUUUAGAGGGUCUACACUGUAUAUAGUGAAGUCUGCAAGUUUUCUAACAGCAAAAUCUGUUUUGUGCCCCAAAUCAUUUUGCACAUCAUUAGAAUGAAAGUUAUUGGCCAUGUUUGCAUAGCCCUUUUUAAAAUGAUGCUUUCAUGACAUUAUUGUGUGUUGGGUGGUGGUCAGGGCUAUCCAGACUGACAAUUUGGGACAUUGAAUGUCACCUCUCCAGUGGGGAGGGGGCCUGAGAUCGUCUAAAUUGGAGUCUGUUCUAUACCGAAUGCAGAAAAAAAUGUUUUAAGAAAGCAAUUAAGUUCAUGUUCCAAAAAAUAUGAUUGUUUGCUUGCAGGACACCAGGAGAGAUGAGUCCUCCGUCACAGAUGGUGUGGUCAGUGAAGAUGGUCGCCUGCAGGUUCAAGCUCAUUGCAUCUCCA
Molecule: long non-coding RNA, 713 nt
Organism: Oreochromis aureus
Lineage: Eukaryota; Metazoa; Chordata; Actinopteri; Cichliformes; Cichlidae
Source: Ensembl